Small nuclear RNA from Pyrus x bretschneideri (Chinese white pear), 195 nucleotides. RefSeq annotates it as U2 spliceosomal RNA. The record is from RefSeq and is a predicted model, not a curated record. Lineage: Eukaryota; Viridiplantae; Streptophyta; Magnoliopsida; Rosales; Rosaceae. The transcript has a single exon.
AUACCUUUCUCGGCCUUUUGGCUAAGAUCAAGUGUAGUAUCUGUUCUUAUCAGUUUAAUAUCUGAUAUGUGGAUUAUAGAUCCACACGAUAUUAAAUUAAUUUUUUAGAGGGGAGGGCUCAUUACAGUAGCUUGCUGCUGGAGCUCUUGCGCGUUGCCUUUGUGUUACACUAUUGCAUUGGCUGGCGCACCCUAC